Molecule: long non-coding RNA, 1025 nt
Filed under: Phascolarctos cinereus (koala)
Lineage: Eukaryota; Metazoa; Chordata; Mammalia; Diprotodontia; Phascolarctidae
Description: lncRNA (ENSPCIG00000033988.1)
Source: RNAcentral
GGGCCAAGGGCAUCGGCUCAAGCCCAAACAAGAUAGACGGCUCCAAAGGAGAAGAUCAUGGUGGAGGUGAUGCAGGGUGUGGGACCUCUUCCCUCAAAAGAAGGAGCCAUGCAAUUAAGGCCAUAAGACCAACCAAGCCUCCUAUGAGCAGGGCCCAGAGAUCCCCACAUCUACGGGACAAGGUCCCUUAUCGCACCACCCCCCUCCAGAAGUUUCCUCAAUCGUUUUCCAAAGCUGAGAAUUCAGGGGCACUUUUUGGAGUGCCAGAGAGGAAAGAGGCUGAGAGGGAUACCCAUAAAGGCAGCCAAAGAAAGUUGAAGGGCACGUCUUCUCUGACAAGGAACCCUGAGGACUCCCAAUCCAGUGGCCCUAAAAAUCCCAUCAAAGUGGCCCAGAGAGCAAAAAGUAUGCAGGUCCCAGAGGGGAUAGUUUAUACUCCCCAGAGUCAAACCCCUUCAAAAAACAGCUUUAUGGAAAAGAUAAAACACUUCCUUCACUGGCUCAGCCUCACGAAAAAACUUGGGAGUCAGAACUUAGUCCACACCUUCCUCAGGGCUGAGGUGUCACCAUCCAAGAAGGGUAUUCCUAAGAAGGUCCCCAUCUCAGCCAGCGGCUCCACAAGUAAGGGACAGAAAGCCAAGAAGAACGUGGAAUUCAAGGAGCACUCCUACCCAUUCCCAAGUAAGAACCUUCUGGUCAGUACCAAGGCCCCCCCAAUGAGUCAGAUCCACCAUCUCAAUUGCCACAAGGGCCAUCCACACUUCUGGAACCCAGAACAGUGCCAGCGCUUCAAUCACUGUUCAGAUAUGUCCGUUCAGCAGGAAAAUGAUCCUUCCUCCCUCGUGCCUUCUGAGGACAACUUUUGCUCCCUCAGAAAAAAGGCCCAGUCCCAACAGAGAGAGUGACUUCAUUCUCAUGAAUGCAUACCCUCUGAUCAGGACAGUAUUCUUUUCCAUUAAUGUGGGGCCACCGUCCUUCCCAAAUACAUUCUAUUCCUCUAAUGGGACAGCAGAGUCUUCUGUCCC